This 326-nucleotide long non-coding RNA is filed under the name Zostera marina. Its description in RNAcentral is "long non-coding RNA (ZMAR_LNC002034)". The record is from RNAcentral. Lineage: Eukaryota; Viridiplantae; Streptophyta; Magnoliopsida; Alismatales; Zosteraceae.
GAGAAAGGGCAAAAGAGUGUUGUGAGGGUUUGGGGAAAACCUCUCCACUAUUUAUAGGCCUUGGGAAAAUUGCAAAAAUCCCCCAGAGAAUCCAAAAUUUACGAAAUUUGAGAUCAAGAUUCGAUCUCCAAAUCCCCCUAAUCACGCCUAGUCGCCGACUCCACAGGGCAGUCGCCGACUCCGGGCAAAAACUCACGGCGAUGUGAGAUACAUUCCUUAUUUGGAGAUUUUACAAAUAUUCCCCGUAUAUCUCCCAAAUAUUCCAAGGAUCUCUCGAAAAGAUCCGACGGUUACGUUAGGAGUCGCCGACUCACAGAGGGAGUCGC